Molecule: ribosomal RNA, 502 nt
Filed under: uncultured bacterium
Lineage: Bacteria
Description: partial 16S ribosomal RNA
Rfam family: Bacterial small subunit ribosomal RNA
Source: RNAcentral
AUUGAACGCUGGCGGCACGCCUAACACAUGCAAGUCGAGCGGUAACAUGGUUAGUAGCAAUACUAACUGAUGACGAGCGGCGGACGGGUGAGGAAUACGUAGGAACCUACCAUUAAGCGGGGGAUAACUAAGGGAAACUUUAGCUAAUACCGCAUAAACUCGAGAGAGCAAAGCUGCCGCAAGGUGGCACUUAUUGAGGGGCCUGCGUCCGAUUAGGUAGUUGGUGAGGUAAGAGCUCACCAAGGCGAUGAUCGGUAACUGGUCUGAGAGGACGACCAGUCACACUGGGUCUGAGACACGGCCCAGACUCCUACGGGAGGCAGCAGUGGGGAAUCUUGGACAAUGGGGGCAACCCUGAUCCAGCGAUGCCGCGUGGGUGAAGAAGGCCUUCGGGUUGUAAAGCCCUUUAGGUUGGGACGAAGGUAUUAUGGGGAUAAUCCAUAGUACUUAACGGUACCGACAGAAUAAGCAUCGGCAAACUCUGUGCCAGCAGCCGCCGUAA